RNAcentral lists this ribosomal RNA (827 nucleotides) under human gut metagenome. Its description in RNAcentral is "bacterial SSU rRNA". It matches the Rfam family "Bacterial small subunit ribosomal RNA", at positions 43 to 845 of the family's 1533-position model. The record is from RNAcentral.
CGUGCCUAACACAUGCAAGUCGAACGGAGAAUUUUAUUUCGGUAGAAUUCUUAGUGGCGAACGGGUGAGUAACGCGUAGGCAACCUGCCCUUUAGACGGGGACAACAUUCCGAAAGGAGUGCUAAUACCGGAUGUGAUCAUCUUGCCGCAUGGCAGGAUGAAGAAAGAUGGCCUCUACAAGUAAGCUAUCGCUAAAGGAUGGGCCUGCGUCUGAUUAGCUAGUUGGUAGUGUAACGGACUACCAAGGCGAUGAUCAGUAGCCGGUCUGAGAGGAUGAACGGCCACAUUGGGACUGAGACACGGCCCAAACUCCUACGGGAGGCAGCAGUGGGGAAUCUUCCGCAAUGGACGAAAGUCUGACGGAGCAACGCCGCGUGAGUGAUGAAGGAUUUCGGUCUGUAAAGCUCUGUUGUUUAUGACGAACGUGCAGUGUGUGAACAAUGCAUUGCAAUGACGGUAGUAAACGAGGAAGCCACGGCUAACUACGUGCCAGCAGCCGCGGUAAUACGUAGGUGGCGAGCGUUGUCCGGAAUUAUUGGGCGUAAAGAGCAUGUAGGCGGCUUAAUAAGUCGAGCGUGAAAAUGCGGGGCUCAACCCCGUAUGGCGCUGGAAACUGUUAGGCUUGAGUGCAGGAGAGGAAAGGGGAAUUCCCAGUGUAGCGGUGAAAUGCGUAGAUAUUGGGAGGAACACCAGUGGCGAAGGCGCCUUUCUGGACUGUGUCUGACGCUGAGAUGCGAAAGCCAGGGUAGCGAACGGGAUUAGAUACCCCGGUAGUCCUGGCCGUAAACGAUGGGUACUAGGUGUAGGAGGUAUCGACCCCUUCUGUG